AUACCUUGGUCGGCCUUUUGGCUAAGAUCAAGUGUAGUAUUUGUUUUUAUCAGUUCAAUAUCUGAUACGUGGGCCAUCAGCCCACAUGAUAUUAAAUUAAUUUUUCUUGGGAGAAGACCCUUG
RNAcentral lists this small nuclear RNA (123 nucleotides) under Nelumbo nucifera (sacred lotus). Its description in RNAcentral is "U2 spliceosomal RNA". It matches the Rfam family "U2 spliceosomal RNA". Rfam says of the family: U2 is a small nuclear RNA (snRNA) component of the spliceosome (involved in pre-mRNA splicing). Complementary binding between U2 snRNA (in an area lying towards the 5' end but 3' to hairpin I) and the branchpoint sequence (BPS) of the intron results the bulging out of an unpaired adenosine, on the BPS, which initiates a nucleophilic attack at the intronic 5' splice site, thus starting the first of two transesterification reactions that mediate splicing. Lineage: Eukaryota; Viridiplantae; Streptophyta; Magnoliopsida; Proteales; Nelumbonaceae. The record is from Rfam by way of RNAcentral.